GGGUCGGUAGCUCAGCUGGUAGAGCACCUCACUUUUAAUGAGGUGGUCCGGAGUUCGAACCUCCGCCGACCCACCA
Molecule: transfer RNA, 76 nt
Filed under: bacterium
Lineage: Bacteria
Also listed under: 1 other name
Description: tRNA-Lys
Rfam family: tRNA
About the family: Transfer RNA (tRNA) molecules are approximately 80 nucleotides in length. Their secondary structure includes four short double-helical elements and three loops (D, anti-codon, and T loops).
Source: RNAcentral